This 3078-nucleotide long non-coding RNA is filed under the name Jatropha curcas. Its description in RNAcentral is "long non-coding RNA (JCUR_LNC001007)". The record is from RNAcentral. Lineage: Eukaryota; Viridiplantae; Streptophyta; Magnoliopsida; Malpighiales; Euphorbiaceae.
UCAUGGAUAAUUGCAGAUACCACAAAAUUGUAGAUGUAGAUACAGUUCUUAAUUCUCUCUCUCUCUCUCUCUCUCUUUCUUUCUUGAUCCUCUUGCCUUUGUUUAAACAGUUUCUUUUACUCUUGAACAAAACAGGCGGGCAAACGACCACCAUUGACGGAUGAAUUGGAAACGUUGGCAUCAAUGCAUGAGCCAGCAGCGACAGGGUCUGGCUCAGAGUUGGCAGGACCUGAGGCUGAAUCAGAAACUCUUAGAUUCCUUAUUGAUUUGUUCCGGCAAUGCACAGAGGGAAGUCCAGCUAAUCGCCCUACAGCAGCAGAAAUCUAUGAAUUGUUGCGUGUGCAUACAGGUGCUUUCACUAGUUCACAGAGCUAGGUAUAUGUUUAGAUUAACCUUUAGGUAAUAACUUGCUUCGGCUCUGAAAUUUUUGUAGCCCUAGGAUGUUGUUUUACAAUAUUUAAUAUUUAUUCGAGGAUCCAAUUGUCCGCAUUUCUCCUUGAGUUAUACCAUCAUUGUAGUUUUAGGCUUAGGUAGCUUUCAGCUUUAUCUUUCCGAGUAAUGUCCAGGAUUAGAUACAAAAUUGGUAAUUGCUGCCUUUGUAAUCUAAUUAAGAUCUGUAAAUUUUGUAGGUAGGUAUAUUUUCGAUUGUGCAAUGCUUAGGCGUCACCAUACUUGUCCAUUGUAAGUUGAACUGUUUAAUUUAUUAGAGCUCUCCAAUUUUGACUUAUUAGCAGCUUUGGAUUAACUUAACCCAGCUUGGAAUAUUGAGGACUUAUUAUGCUGGCGAAAACACGAUGUACUUAUACACGUUAUGGUAGUUGUUUGAAUUAAUUUUUAUUUAUAUAUUGAUUGUAUUGUGUUUAGGGCAGGGGCUAACAGGAGUUGCCCCUUCUUCUUGAGGUAAAGUUAUUGGCAACUGAUGGAGUACUCUGUUGAGUUCAUCUCCCCGGUUUUAGUGCAAGACAGAUAAUUUAUGCUGGUAUUAUGGGAAAGUGUGUUUUUUUGUGGUUCUAGGGUUCAGGUUUAUAAGGUUAGUUGCAAAUUCUCUUGUCCAGCUCGGGUUUAUGUUGAUUAUUUCAUAGGGUGAAUUACUAUUAGUCCUUUGAUUAUAUUCAAAUACAGAGUCAGAUCCCUAUUAAUUUUGUAGUUACACGGUUUCAUAUUUGUCAUGACUUUAUUAUUUUGUUAAUUGCUAGUGAAAUAUUGUUACCUUCUUUGAUGAAUGCACAGGUGAAUGUUAUCAUGUCUAUAACUGCGUGAGGUUCCUCACAAGUUGUAUGCUAAGUAGAAGAAUGAAUUCAUGAACAUAGAAUUCUUAGUUACGUUCUUAUAAGUUUCUGCUGUAAAUUAUACUUUUUAUGACCUUGAUUUGAGAAAAGAGAUGCUGGGAGGAAAACUAGGAUUCUCAUCGUUGUAGUAAAAUAAUGUGAGGAGCUGCCAUGCAGAACUCUAAUCACCAUGUUUAUCAUGGCAUUUUUUUUUUUUUGGUUUGUUUAUACUGUAAAACUUAAUUGAUUUGUCAUCCAGUUUCAUUUGGAAAAAUAGAAAGUGGUGCAGACCACUUGCUGCACAACCUCAAUGAUGGUUUUGUUUGGAAAGAUCAUAUGCUGUUUUAUAUAUUUGCAAGAAUCUUUGAUGCAUUUGAUUAUGCAAUAUUUUUUUUGGAUAUUAUAUAAUGUGACUUCUAUCUGGUUGUAGGAGGUGGAUAUUUGGUCAUAUGGAUGCCUACUUUUGGAAUUAUUGACCUUGCAAGUUCCUUAUUCUGGUUUAUCUGAAUUCCACAUUAAUGAACUACUUCAGGUUUGUCUCAUGGAUAAUUGCAGAUACCACAAAAUUGUAGAUGUAGAUACAGUUCUUAAUUCUCUCUCUCUCUCUCUCUCUCUUUCUUUCUUGAUCCUCUUGCCUUUGUUUAAACAGUUUCUUUUACUCUUGAACAAAACAGGCGGGCAAACGACCACCAUUGACGGAUGAAUUGGAAACGUUGGCAUCAAUGCAUGAGCCAGCAGCGACAGGGUCUGGCUCAGAGUUGGCAGGACCUGAGGCUGAAUCAGAAACUCUUAGAUUCCUUAUUGAUUUGUUCCGGCAAUGCACAGAGGGAAGUCCAGCUAAUCGCCCUACAGCAGCAGAAAUCUAUGAAUUGUUGCGUGUGCAUACAGGUGCUUUCACUAGUUCACAGAGCUAGGUAUAUGUUUAGAUUAACCUUUAGGUAAUAACUUGCUUCGGCUCUGAAAUUUUUGUAGCCCUAGGAUGUUGUUUUACAAUAUUUAAUAUUUAUUCGAGGAUCCAAUUGUCCGCAUUUCUCCUUGAGUUAUACCAUCAUUGUAGUUUUAGGCUUAGGUAGCUUUCAGCUUUAUCUUUCCGAGUAAUGUCCAGGAUUAGAUACAAAAUUGGUAAUUGCUGCCUUUGUAAUCUAAUUAAGAUCUGUAAAUUUUGUAGGUAGGUAUAUUUUCGAUUGUGCAAUGCUUAGGCGUCACCAUACUUGUCCAUUGUAAGUUGAACUGUUUAAUUUAUUAGAGCUCUCCAAUUUUGACUUAUUAGCAGCUUUGGAUUAACUUAACCCAGCUUGGAAUAUUGAGGACUUAUUAUGCUGGCGAAAACACGAUGUACUUAUACACGUUAUGGUAGUUGUUUGAAUUAAUUUUUAUUUAUAUAUUGAUUGUAUUGUGUUUAGGGCAGGGGCUAACAGGAGUUGCCCCUUCUUCUUGAGGUAAAGUUAUUGGCAACUGAUGGAGUACUCUGUUGAGUUCAUCUCCCCGGUUUUAGUGCAAGACAGAUAAUUUAUGCUGGUAUUAUGGGAAAGUGUGUUUUUUUGUGGUUCUAGGGUUCAGGUUUAUAAGGUUAGUUGCAAAUUCUCUUGUCCAGCUCGGGUUUAUGUUGAUUAUUUCAUAGGGUGAAUUACUAUUAGUCCUUUGAUUAUAUUCAAAUACAGAGUCAGAUCCCUAUUAAUUUUGUAGUUACACGGUUUCAUAUUUGUCAUGACUUUAUUAUUUUGUUAAUUGCUAGUGAAAUAUUGUUACCUUCUUUGAUGAAUGCACAUAUGGCGUAAAAGCAAAUAAGAGAGAAUUACUAUUUAAUUUA